AGAGUUUGAUCAUGGCUCAGAACGAACGCUGGCGGCAGGCUUAACACAUGCAAGUCGCAGGAGAAGGGGGCUUCGGCUCCUGGGCACUGGCGGACGGGUGAGUAACGCGUGGGAACCUACCUCGAGGUGGGGGACAACCGCUGGAAACGGCGGCUAAUACCGCAUACGCCCUUUUGGGGAAAGCUUCGGCGCCCUGAGAUGGUCCCGCGUCGGAUUAGCUAGUUGGUGGGGUAACGGCCUACCAAGGCGACGAUCCGUAGCUGGUCUGAGAGGAUGACCAGCCACACUGGAACUGAGACACGGUCCAGACUCCUACGGGAGGCAGCAGUGGGGAAUAUUGGACAAUGGGGGCAACCCCGAUCCAGCCAUGCCGCGUGGGUGAAGAAGGCCUUAGGGUUGUAAAACCCUUUCAGCGGGGAAGAUGAUGACGGUACCCGCAGAAGAAGCCCCGGCUAACUCCGUGCCAGCAGCCGCGGUAAUACGGAGGGGGCUAGCGUUGUUCGGAAUUACUGGGCGUAAAGGGCGUGUAGGCGGUUUGCCAAGUCAGGCGUGAAAGCCCCGGGCUUAACCUGGGACUGCGUUUGAUACUGGCAGGCUAGAGGUUGGAAGAGGAGAGUGGAAUUCCCAGUGUAGAGGUGAAAUUCGUAGAUAUUGGGAAGAACACCAGUGGCGAAGGCGGCUCUCUGGUCCACACCUGAGCUGAGGCGCGAAAGCGUGGGGAGCAAACAGGAUUAGAUACCCUAGUAGUCC
RNAcentral lists this ribosomal RNA (750 nucleotides) under uncultured bacterium. Its description in RNAcentral is "bacterial SSU rRNA". It matches the Rfam family "Bacterial small subunit ribosomal RNA", at positions 8 to 796 of the family's 1533-position model. The record is from RNAcentral.